AACGAACGCUGGCGGCGCGCCUAACACAUGCAAGUCGAACGAGAAUCCGGGGCAACCCGGUAGUAAAGUGGCAAACGGGUGAGGAAUACAUGGGUAACCUACCCUUGAGAAGGGAAUAACCCGCCGAAAGGUGAGCUAAUACCCUAUACGCUAUCUUUUUUUCGAAAAGGAUAGGAAAGCCGGGUCGAGGACCUGGUACUCAAGGAGGGGCUCAUGUCCUAUCAGCUUGUUGGUGGGGUAACGGCCUACCAAGGCUACGACGGGUAGCUGGUCUGAGAGGAUGAUCAGCCACACUGGCACUGAGAUACGGGCCAGACUCCUACGGGAGGCAGCAGUGAGGAAUAUUGCGCAAUGGGCGAAAGCCUGACGCAGCGACGCCGCGUGGGGGAUGAAGGUUUUCGGAUUGUAAACCCCUUUCAUGAGGAAAGAUAAAGUGGGUAACCACUUAGACGGUACCUCAAGAAGAAGCCACGGCUAACUUCGUGCCAGCAGCCGCGG
RNAcentral lists this ribosomal RNA (498 nucleotides) under uncultured bacterium. RNAcentral describes it as "bacterial SSU rRNA". It matches the Rfam family "Bacterial small subunit ribosomal RNA", at positions 29 to 520 of the family's 1533-position model. The record is from RNAcentral.